RNAcentral lists this ribosomal RNA (2907 nucleotides) under synthetic metagenome. RNAcentral describes it as "bacterial LSU rRNA". It matches the Rfam family "Bacterial large subunit ribosomal RNA". The record is from RNAcentral.
AGGGCGCACGGUGGAUGCCUUGACACUAGGAGUCGAUGAAGGACGGGACUAACGCCGAUAUGCUUCGGGGAGCUGUAAGUAAGCUUUGAUCCGAAGAUUUCCGAAUGGGGAAACCCACCAUACGUAAUGGUAUGGUAUCCUUAUCUGAAUACAUAGGGUAAGGAAGACAGACCCAGGGAACUGAAACAUCUAAGUACCUGGAGGAAGAGAAAGCAAAUGCGAUUUCCUGAGUAGCGGCGAGCGAAACGGAACAUAGCCCAAACCAAGAGGCUUGCCUCUUGGGGUUGUAGGACAUUCUAUACGGAGUUACAAAGGAACGAGGUAGACGAAGCGACCUGGAAAGGUCCGUCGUAGAGGGUAACAACCCCGUAGUCGAAACUUCGUUCUCUCUUGAAUGUAUCCUGAGUACGGCGGAACACGUGAAAUUCCGUCGGAAUCUGGGAGGACCAUCUCCCAAGGCUAAAUACUCCCUAGUGAUCGAUAGUGAACCAGUACCGUGAGGGAAAGGUGAAAAGCACCCCGGAAGGGGAGUGAAAGAGAUCCUGAAACCGUGUGCCUACAAAUAGUCAGAGCCCGUUAACGGGUGAUGGCGUGCCUUUUGUAGAAUGAACCGGCGAGUUACGAUCCCGUGCGAGGUUAAGCUGAAGAGGCGGAGCCGCAGCGAAAGCGAGUCUGAAUAGGGCGUUUAGUACGUGGUCGUAGACCCGAAACCAGGUGAUCUACCCAUGUCCAGGGUGAAGUUCAGGUAACACUGAAUGGAGGCCCGAACCCACGCACGUUGAAAAGUGCGGGGAUGAGGUGUGGGUAGCGGAGAAAUUCCAAUCGAACCUGGAGAUAGCUGGUUCUCCCCGAAAUAGCUUUAGGGCUAGCCUUAAGUGUAAGAGUCUUGGAGGUAGAGCACUGAUUGGACUAGGGGUCCUCAUCGGAUUACCGAAUUCAGUCAAACUCCGAAUGCCAAUGACUUAUCCUUAGGAGUCAGACUGCGAGUGAUAAGAUCCGUAGUCAAAAGGGAAACAGCCCAGACCGCCAGCUAAGGUCCCAAAGUGUGUAUUAAGUGGAAAAGGAUGUGGAGUUGCUUAGACAACUAGGAUGUUGGCUUAGAAGCAGCCACCAUUUAAAGAGUGCGUAAUAGCUCACUAGUCGAGUGACUCUGCGCCGAAAAUGUACCGGGGCUAAAUACACCACCGAAGCUGCGGAUUGAUACCAAUGGUAUCAGUGGUAGGGGAGCGUUCUAAGGACAGUGAAGUCAGACCGGAAGGACUGGUGGAGUGCUUAGAAGUGAGAAUGCCGGUAUGAGUAGCGAAAGACGGGUGAGAAUCCCGUCCACCGAAUGCCUAAGGUUUCCUGAGGAAGGCUCGUCCGCUCAGGGUUAGUCAGGACCUAAGCCGAGGCCGACAGGCGUAGGCGAUGGACAACAGGUUGAUAUUCCUGUACCACCUCUUUAUCGUUUGAGCAAUGGAGGGACGCAGAAGGAUAGAAGAAGCGUGCGAUUGGUUGUGCACGUCCAAGCAGUUAGGCUGAUAAGUAGGCAAAUCCGCUUAUCGUGAAGGCUGAGCUGUGAUGGGGAAGCUCCUUAUGGAGCGAAGUCUUUGAUUCCCCGCUGCCAAGAAAAGCUUCUAGCGAGAUAAAAGGUGCCUGUACCGCAAACCGACACAGGUAGGCGAGGAGAGAAUCCUAAGGUGUGCGAGAGAACUCUGGUUAAGGAACUCGGCAAAAUGACCCCGUAACUUCGGGAGAAGGGGUGCUUUCUUAACGGAAAGCCGCAGUGAAUAGGCCCAAGCGACUGUUUAGCAAAAACACAGCUCUCUGCGAAGCCGUAAGGCGAAGUAUAGGGGGUGACACCUGCCCGGUGCUGGAAGGUUAAGGAGAGGGGUUAGCGUAAGCGAAGCUCUGAACUGAAGCCCCAGUAAACGGCGGCCGUAACUAUAACGGUCCUAAGGUAGCGAAAUUCCUUGUCGGGUAAGUUCCGACCCGCACGAAAGGUGUAACGAUUUGGGCACUGUCUCAACCAGAGACUCGGUGAAAUUAUAGUACCUGUGAAGAUGCAGGUUACCCGCGACAGGACGGAAAGACCCCGUGGAGCUUUACUGUAGCCUGAUAUUGAAUUUUGGUACAGUUUGUACAGGAUAGGCGGGAGCCUUUGAAACCGGAGCGCUAGCUUCGGUGGAGGCGCUGGUGGGAUACCGCCCUGACUGUAUUGAAAUUCUAACCUACGGGUCUUAUCGACCCGGGAGACAGUGUCAGGUGGGCAGUUUGACUGGGGCGGUCGCCUCCUAAAGUGUAACGGAGGCGCCCAAAGGUUCCCUCAGAAUGGUUGGAAAUCAUUCGUAGAGUGCAAAGGCAUAAGGGAGCUUGACUGCGAGACCUACAAGUCGAGCAGGGACGAAAGUCGGGCUUAGUGAUCCGGUGGUUCCGCAUGGAAGGGCCAUCGCUCAACGGAUAAAAGCUACCCCGGGGAUAACAGGCUUAUCUCCCCCAAGAGUCCACAUCGACGGGGAGGUUUGGCACCUCGAUGUCGGCUCAUCGCAUCCUGGGGCUGUAGUCGGUCCCAAGGGUUGGGCUGUUCGCCCAUUAAAGCGGUACGCGAGCUGGGUUCAGAACGUCGUGAGACAGUUCGGUCCCUAUCCGUCGUGGGCGUAGGAAAUUUGAGAGGAGCUGUCCUUAGUACGAGAGGACCGGGAUGGACGCACCGCUGGUGUACCAGUUGUUCUGCCAAGGGCAUAGCUGGGUAGCUAUGUGCGGAAGGGAUAAGUGCUGAAAGCAUCUAAGCAUGAAGCCCCCCUCAAGAUGAGAUUUCCCAUAGCGUAAGCUAGUAAGAUCCCUGAAAGAUGAUCAGGUUGAUAGGUUCGAGGUGGAAGCAUGGUGACAUGUGGAGCUGACGAAUACUAAUAGAUCGAGGACUUAACC